UGGGGGAUAUUGCACAAUGGGCGAAAGCCUGAUGCAGCGACGCCGCGUGGGGGAUGAAGGCCUUCGGGUUGUAAACUUCUUUUGCUCUGAACAAGGCAUGCUAAUGGGUGUGUUGAGUGUAGGGGUUGAUUAGCGCCGGCUAACUACGUGCCAGCAGCCGCGGUAAUACGUAGGGCGCGAGCGUUGUCCGGAAUCAUUGGGCGUAAAGGGCUUGUAGGUGGCUGGUUGCGUCUGUCGUGAAAGCUCAUGGAUUAACUGUGGGUUUGCGGUGGGGACGGGCUGGCUUGAGUGCAGUAGGGGAGGAUGGAAUACCUGGUGUAGCGGUGGAAUGCGCAGAUAUCAGGAGGAAUACCGGUGGCGAAGGCGGGUCUCUGGGCUGUUACUGCCACUGAGGAGCGAAAGCAUGGGGAGCGAACAGG
RNAcentral lists this ribosomal RNA (419 nucleotides) under bacterium. Its description in RNAcentral is "partial 16S ribosomal RNA". It matches the Rfam family "Bacterial small subunit ribosomal RNA", at positions 355 to 776 of the family's 1533-position model. The record is from RNAcentral.